GGAUCCCAUCAGAACUCCGAAGUUAAGCGUGCUUGGGCGAGAGUAGUACUAGGAUAGGUGACCUCCUGGGAAGUCCUUGUGUUGCAUUCCCC
RNAcentral lists this ribosomal RNA (92 nucleotides) under Hordeum vulgare subsp. spontaneum. The record is from RNAcentral. Lineage: Eukaryota; Viridiplantae; Streptophyta; Magnoliopsida; Poales; Poaceae.